UAUUUUAAUAAUUUAUUCAAAUCUUUCUUUGCAAAGGUGUCCUCGUGGCAAAAGGUGACGUAGGAACAGGGACAAUAGUGGGAUCUGCAGUUUUUAAUGUUUUAUUUGUCAUCGGAAUAUGCGGAAUAUUUUCUGGAAGAGAAGUUAAUUUGUCAUGGUGGCCAAUUAUCCGUGAUUCCGUCUUUUAUUCAUUCACAGUAGUGGUCUUAAUUCUUAUUAUUUAUGAUAGCACCGUCACGUGGUACGAAUCGAUAAGCAUGCUAAUCAUCUACGCCUUCUAUAUCUUAUUGAUGAAGUUCAACACUCAAGUACACUUCUGGAUCUCUAGAAGACUCGGGAUCGAAGACGAACUUACUGCUUCUCUGGGCAUUCUGUCACAAACGCAUGACAAUAAGUGUUACAGCUCUUAUGGUAAUGAAAUGUCUAAUUUAAUUAUCAUAUUUUUGGCUAUUUUUGGAUCGAUUAGUUUUAAUGUGUAUCAAAAGUUUAAA
Long non-coding RNA from Centruroides sculpturatus (bark scorpion), 491 nucleotides. RefSeq lists it as uncharacterized. The transcript is spliced from 4 exons. The record is from RefSeq and is a predicted model, not a curated record. Lineage: Eukaryota; Metazoa; Arthropoda; Arachnida; Scorpiones; Buthidae.